UUAACCCUUUGGCAUUUAAACUGACCAUAUUAGGCCAAAAUAUUCACCCUGUUUUAUGUUUUAACUGGUUAUAUCUGGUCUCUCACACCCACCCUACAAUGCCAUUUU
Octopus sinensis (East Asian common octopus) is the source of this 108-nucleotide long non-coding RNA. RefSeq lists it as uncharacterized. NCBI's taxonomy places the organism in Eukaryota, Metazoa, Mollusca, Cephalopoda, Octopoda, Octopodidae. The record is from RefSeq and is a predicted model, not a curated record. The transcript is spliced from 3 exons.